This 242-nucleotide ribosomal RNA is filed under the name uncultured bacterium. RNAcentral describes it as "partial 16S ribosomal RNA". It matches the Rfam family "Bacterial small subunit ribosomal RNA", at positions 15 to 253 of the family's 1533-position model. The record is from RNAcentral.
GAUCCUGGCUCAGGAUGAACGCUAGCUACAGGCUUAACACAUGCAAGUCGAGGGGCAGCAUGGUCUAGUAAUAGACUGAUGGCGACCGGCGCACGGGUGAGUAACACGUAUCCAACCUGCCGAUUAUUCCGGGAUAGCCUUUCGAAAGAAAGAUUAAUACUGGAUAGCAUAACGAGAAGGCAUCUUCUUGUUAUUAAAGAAUUUCGAUAAUCGAUGGGGAUGCGUUCCAUUAGUUUGUUGGG